CAAUAGCGUAUAUUAAAGUUGUUGCAGUUAGAACGCUCGUAGUCGGAUUUCGGGGCGGGCCGACCGGUCUGCCGAUGGGUACGCACUGGUCGGCGCGUCCUUCCUUCCGGAGACCGUGCCUACUCUUAACUGAGCGGGUGCGGGAGACGGAUCGUUUACUUUGAAAAAAUCAGAGUGUUUCAAGCAGGCAGCUCGCUCUUGCAUGGAUUAGCAUGGGAUAAUGAAAUAGGACUUUGGUGCUAUUUUGUUGGUUUCGAACACCGAAGUAAUGAUUAACAGGGACAGUCAGGGGCACUCGUAUUCCGCCGAGAGAGGUGAAAUUCUCAGACCAGCGGAAGACGAACUACUGCGAAAGCAUUUGCCAGGGAUGUUUUCACUGA
This 380-nucleotide ribosomal RNA is filed under the name uncultured eukaryote. RNAcentral describes it as "partial 18S ribosomal RNA". It matches the Rfam family "Eukaryotic small subunit ribosomal RNA", at positions 592 to 976 of the family's 1831-position model. The record is from RNAcentral.